RNAcentral lists this ribosomal RNA (492 nucleotides) under uncultured bacterium. Its description in RNAcentral is "partial 16S ribosomal RNA". It matches the Rfam family "Bacterial small subunit ribosomal RNA", at positions 29 to 507 of the family's 1533-position model. The record is from RNAcentral.
AGUGAACGCUGGCGGUAGGCCUAACACAUGCAAGUCGAACGGCAGCACAGUAAGAGCUUGCUCUUACGGGUGGCGAGUGGCGGACGGGUGAGGAAUACAUCGGAAUCUACUUUUUCGUGGGGGAUAACGUAGGGAAACUUACGCUAAUACCGCAUACGACCUACGGGUGAAAGCAGGGGUUCUUCGGACCUUGCGCGAUUGAAUGAGCCGAUGUCGGAUUAGCUAGUUGGCGGGGUAAAGGCCCACCAAGGCGACGAUCCGUAGCUGGUCUGAGAGGAUGAUCAGCCACACUGGAACUGGGACACGGUCCAGACUCCUACGGGAGGCAGCAGUGGGGAAUAUUGGACAAUGGGCGCAAGCCUGAUCCAGCCAUACCGCGUGGGUGAAGAAGGCCUUCGGGUUGUAAAGCCCUUUUGUUGGGAAAGAAAAGCAGCAGGUUAAUACCCCGCUGUUCUGACGGUACCCAAAGAAUAAGCACCGGCUAACUUCGUG